RNAcentral lists this ribosomal RNA (301 nucleotides) under uncultured bacterium. Its description in RNAcentral is "partial 16S ribosomal RNA". It matches the Rfam family "Bacterial small subunit ribosomal RNA", at positions 509 to 807 of the family's 1533-position model. The record is from RNAcentral.
CAGCAGCCGCGGUAACACGUAGGGUGCAAGCGUUAAUCGGAAUUACUGGGCGUAAAGCGUGCGCAGGCGGUUUUGUAAGACAGAGGUGAAAUCCCCGGGCUCAACCUGGGAACUGCCUUUGUGACUGCAAGGCUAGAGUACGGCAGAGGGGGAUGGAAUUCCGCGUGUAGCAGUGAAAUGCGUAGAUAUGCGGAGGAACACCGAUGGCGAAGGCAAUCCCCUGGGCCUGUACUGACGCUCAUGCACGAAAGCGUGGGGAGCAAACAGGAUUAGAUACCCGAGUAGUCCCUGUCUCUUAUAC